GAUGAAGAACGCAGCGAAAUGCGAUAAGUAAUGUGAAUUGCAGAAUUCAGUGAAUCAUCGAAUCUUUGAACGCACCUUGCGCCCUUUGGCCAUUCCGAAGGGCAUGCCUGUUUGAGUAUCAUGAACACCUCAACUCUUUAUGGUUUUCCAUGAUGAGCUUGGACUCUGGGGGUUUUGCUGGUUCACAGUCGGCUCCUCUAAAAUGAAUCAGCUUACCAGUGUUUGGUGGGUAUCAUGGGUGUGAUAACUAUCUACGCUUGUGGUUUUUCCACCAGGUAACCUUCAGCAGUGGAGGUUCGCUGGAGCUCAUAGAUGUCUCUCCUCAGUGAGGACAGCCCUUUGAAUGUUUGAUCUCAAAUCAGGUAGGACUACCCGCUGAACUUAAGCAUAUCAAUAAGCGGAGGA
Molecule: unclassified non-coding RNA, 405 nt
Filed under: soil metagenome
Description: partial contains 5.8S ribosomal RNA, internal transcribed spacer 2, and large subunit ribosomal RNA
Rfam family: 5.8S ribosomal RNA (bases 1-121)
Source: RNAcentral